RNAcentral lists this ribosomal RNA (388 nucleotides) under uncultured bacterium. RNAcentral's name for it is "partial 16S ribosomal RNA". It matches the Rfam family "Bacterial small subunit ribosomal RNA", at positions 338 to 723 of the family's 1533-position model. The record is from RNAcentral.
CCUACGGGAGGCAGCAGUGAGGAAUAUUGGUCAAUGGGCGCGAGCCUGAACCAGCCAAGUAGCGUGAAGGAUGACUGCCCUCCGGGUUGUAAACUGCUUUUAUAAAGGAAUAAAGUGAGGCUCGUGUGCCUUUUUUUCUGUAUUUUAUGAAUAAGGAUCGGCUAACUUCGCGCCAGCAGCCGCGGUAAUAUGGAGGAUCCGAGCGUUAUCUGGAUUUAUUGGGUUUAAAGGGAGCGUAGAUGGGUUGUUAAGUCAGUUGUGAAAGUUUGCGGCUCAACCGUAAAAUUGCAAUUGAUACUGGAAGCCUUGAGUACAGUUGAGGUAGGCGGAAUUCGUGGUGUAGCGGUGAAAUGCUUAGAUAUCACGAAGAACUCCGAUUGCGAAGGCA